Molecule: ribosomal RNA, 425 nt
Filed under: Smeringopus lotzi
Lineage: Eukaryota; Metazoa; Arthropoda; Arachnida; Araneae; Pholcidae
Description: partial 16S ribosomal RNA
Rfam family: Archaeal large subunit ribosomal RNA
Source: RNAcentral
CUCUUUAAGGAAGUAAUUUAAAGUAACGCCUGCUCAAUGAUAAAUUAAAUAGCCGCAGUCAUUCUGUGCUAAGGUAGCAUAAUCAUUAGCUUCAUAAUUGGAAGAUUGUAUGAAAGGCUAAACGAAAACCCACUGUCUCAACUCCACUAAUGAACUUACUAAAUUAGUAAAAACCCUAAUAUAAAUAUACAGGACGACAAGACCCCGACAAACUAACCUUUUAGUUGGGGCAACAAAGUAAAGAACCCUUACUUAUCCAACACACCUAAAACAUUUAUCAACGAAUAGUUACUGCGGGGAUAACAGCGCAAUUUUUUAAAAGAGCCCACAUCUAAAAAAAAGAUUACGACCUCGAUGUUGAAUUAACCUAUCUCUAUUCUGGCGCAAAAGCCAUACCAGUCGGGUCUGUUCGACCUCUUAAGGUU